UCAAGUAGUCCAUUACCCAACCAGCAAAACCGAAGCUAUUGGAAAACUUUCCUGUGUGCCAAAGCGAGAGAGCAUGUCUUCUUUCUCUAGAUUUUGGACGGCACAACGCCGAUCUUGUGGCCUAUGAACGAAAAACGGGAGAAGGGGAAACCGAAAUCCUUCGAGUGACACACACACAUGCAUCUGCAUGCGGAUUCCGCUGAACCGAGACUACCCAUCUCUCUCUAUCUCCCAUGAUUUUUGUGCUAUCGCGCUCAUCCGGGUGUUAGGCAUCCUCAGUCUGUCCAGAACUUUCAUCGUGGAAGGAUGUGUUGGAGUGAUGUGUGAUUUCUUGUGCCCCGUGGUUUGCUCGUUUACGUUUUCUACCGUGUUCCUUCUUCUUCAAUUAUGGAAUGAUUUAUCCUUGUAAAUUUCUAAGGUAAGUUGUGCUAGUGUGUGCCUCAAUGGAAUGUAUUGAAUGUACAGCUAACGCUUGUCGUCUAAAAAGUUACAGGUGCACGCGCAUGAUAAUCGACGGUUACCUGUUGUCCUUGCCAACUUCCUACAAAACGAUCGACGGAAGGAAAACGGUGUCCAGUUUUAAAAUAUCAAGAUUUCAACACAGCUCUUUCGUAGGAGAGCGCACUUCAAGGACGCCAAGGAUACGGCUAAACAUGCGCAGCACCAGUCCGUGACGUCAUUUCCAGACAGGCGCCGGCUAAACAUGCGCAGCACCAGUCGAGGAUGUCCUAGCGAGAAGGGCAGAAGGAGGAACAAGAGGAAGGGUAACGGAACCGCUACAAUUGUAGGGGGUGAAGCAUCCAGCCGUGUACAGAGUGUGAGUGUGCCAAAACGCAUGUGGAAAGAGGAGGUCCAAUAAAUAGCAUGCGAAAGUGUGCAUAAAUACAGGGUGGCAUCGUAGAAGUGAUACACUUUGUUUUUGCAAUAAAAUUGACACCAGGAUUGAUUUCUCUUAGGAAUCGAUUGAAAUAGCUUCUAUUGGUACUAAACCUGCAUUUCAUUUAAUUUAUUUCAAAUCUUUCACCUUUACACUUGAUAACCGCCCGUAGGCGCUUUUGGAAAUCGUUGCAGGCCGCACGCACAACUUCAUCCAGCAUUUCGUCCCAUAUCUUUAACAACCGUUUCUUGAAUCCGUCCAAAUGCAAAUGUUUGAGGUCGCCCAACUUUUCAAGCGGAGAUACAUGCGGAGAGUAUGCAGAAGUCCAACGGGUUCAAAUAUGGAGACGACGCAGGCCAUUCCGAUGCACUGAUAAAAAAUAGCAAUAGCACAUUGCACCACUUCUGAAAGAUCGAAGCCUUACGGGCUGGAGGUGAAUCAUGUUGGAAGCAAAAGCUGUCGAUGCCAAAAAGCUUCUUAGCGUAUGGCUUCAAGUGGCCUUGAAAAACGUGUUCUAAAUAGUUCUCCUUGUUGAUCUUCACGCCUUUGUCGAGAAAAAAUAACGAAAUCUUCUCUUUGACUUAGAUAGCUCUCCAAACCAUCACAGCUAACGCAUUUUGAUACUGUUCGACUGUUCUUUUGACGGCUGUUAUAUCCCGAAUACAUGCUCCAUAUAUACGAUCA
Molecule: long non-coding RNA, 1561 nt
Organism: Anopheles arabiensis
Lineage: Eukaryota; Metazoa; Arthropoda; Insecta; Diptera; Culicidae
Exons: 2
Source: RefSeq, a predicted model, not a curated record